GAUGAACGCUAGCUACAGGCUUAACACAUGCAAGUCGAGGGGCAGCAUGGUCUUAGCUUGCUAAGGCCGAUGGCGACCGGCGCACGGGUGAGUAACACGUAUCCAACCUGCCGUCUACUCUUGGACAGCCUUCUGAAAGGAAGAUUAAUACAAGAUGGCAUCAUGAGUUCACAUGUUCACAUGAUUAAAGGUAUUCCGGUAGACGAUGGGGAUGCGUUCCAUUAGGUAGUAGGCGGGGUAACGGCCCACCUAGCCGACGAUGGAUAGGGGUUCUGAGAGGAAGGUCCCCCACAUUGGAACUGAGACACGGUCCAAACUCCUACGGGAGGCAGCAGUGAGGAAUAUUGGUCAAUGGGCGAGAGCCUGAACCAGCCAAGUAGCGUGAAGGAUGAAGGUCCUACGGAUUGUAAACUUCUUUUAUACGGGAAUAAAGUAUCCUACGUGUAGGAUUUUGUAUGUACCGUAUGAAUAAGCAUCGGCUAACUCCGU
RNAcentral lists this ribosomal RNA (489 nucleotides) under uncultured bacterium. RNAcentral describes it as "bacterial SSU rRNA". It matches the Rfam family "Bacterial small subunit ribosomal RNA", at positions 28 to 506 of the family's 1533-position model. The record is from RNAcentral.